RNAcentral lists this ribosomal RNA (497 nucleotides) under uncultured bacterium. RNAcentral describes it as "partial 16S ribosomal RNA". It matches the Rfam family "Bacterial small subunit ribosomal RNA", at positions 28 to 507 of the family's 1533-position model. The record is from RNAcentral.
GAUGAACGCUGGCGGCGUGCCUAAUACAUGCAAGUCGAGCGAACAGAUGAGGCGCUUGCUCCUCUGACGUUAGCUGCGUACGGGUGAGUAACACGUGGAUAACCUACCUAUAAGACUGGGAUAACUUCGGGAAACCGGAGCUAAUACCGGAGAAUAUAUUGAACCGCAUGGCUCAAUAGUGAAAGACGGUUUUGCUGUCUCUUAUAGAUUGAUCAGCGCCGCAUUGGAUAGUUGGGAAGGUAGCGGCUUAACAAGGCAACGAUGCGUAUCCGACCUGAGAGGGAGGACGGACACACUGGAACAGAGGCACGGUCCAGACUCCGACGGGAGGAAGCAGUAGGGAAUCUUACGCGAUGGGCGAAAGCGUGACGGAGCAACGCCGCGGGAGUGAUGAAGGUCUGCGGAUCGUAAAGCUCUGUUAUUAGGGAGGAACAAAUGUGUAAGUAACUAUGCACGUCUUGACGGUACCUAAUCAGAAAGCCACGGCUAACUACGUG